CACAAUGUGUCGGAAGUAGUUCCCUGAGAAGUGGGUUUUGAAGCUAAUGGGGAAACGGUCCAGCGUGGUCAUGUUGUUGGUGAGGUAACUGACAGCAGCUGCUAUUGAGGAAACAACUAGUGAUACCAUUUUCUUGACAAGAUACUUCCUUCCUCCUCCAGAUCCUCCCAGCCUGCUCAGCAGACUUGCCACUGAUUCAGGCAUCGGAUAGGCAAGAUUUGUUCUCCAGGUCAAAGGUCCAACCUAUUGCAAGCUGCCCCACUUUCAUCUGGGUCACGGGGAAAUCAGACUUGGCCUCCUCAACAAAACCUUCAACAAAGGGAAGUUAAUUUCAAGGCAUAUUUGUGAAGCAGAAGUUAAAGUGCUAACACCUCAAGCAAUUGUCCAGAGCAACAUCAGCCUUCUUGGUGAAGGAAGAGCAACUUCGAAGAACUAGUUCUGGUAUUUCAGAGAAUUGCUUGGAUUUGGAUUUUUUUGGUGGUUUUCUGGGAGAACUGGGUAGGGAAAACAGAGGGAUGUGGGGCUUGGCAGCAAUAUUGUCAGCAGCCUGAAAGCAUAAGGGAACAGAGGAGAAAACACAAAGAUGGACAGACAAGCACAAUUCCACGAGGAAAGGAUACAUUCCCAGGAUCACAGCUUCCAGGCAUUUUAUUGGCAGGGCCUCUUUGGUCAUUUCUUUGGCCAGGUCCAUCAGCCUGCAAAGUGGAACAGGGGAAAGACAAGGACAGUCAGAGGGCUUGUGCUAUGCAAAUGUGGCUAGUUUAGCCCUUUUGCACAAUAUAUGUGAAGUAGGUUUCCAGCAGAGAAGGCCCACUGAGGACAGGGAACAGAAGAAAGUAUCUUCUUUAAGAAGGUACUAAAUCCAAACCAGGUCUCUACCACAUGCUGUUGCUGCUCACAAGGAACUUGACAAGUUACAGCAAAGCUGCCUACUUGGCCUACCUCUGUUUGAGUGAGACCACAGCACUUGGCUCAGUGAGUUCUGGAUGGACACCUGUGUGGCCACAAGCAAAAGCCUCAAAGGACCAAAGGCCAGCAGUGUUUGCCUCACAAGGUUCAAGGACAGUAAAGCCCUAUUCCCUGGCAUCAACUCUACUCUCCAUUCAACAAAUACUGUGGAGGAGCCAUUGCACUGGUUAAAACACGGGACAUCUAGGGUCAUGUAAGUCUGUGGACGAGACCAGUGGUAAGAAGCCAGUCUUGGGAGGCUUUCAGUAUGCGGGGCAGGAGAGUCAAUUAACAUCAGGUGCUUAUCUCCUUAACUUACAGAGCGCAGCUCUUCCCAAAAUUUGCUGUCAGGAGAAUCCCCCUUCUCCUUCAAAGUAUGAGACAUCAAAGCUUAGUAAGAGUAGAUUCUGCAAAGGCACUCACAGGAGCUAUGAAAUUAGACCUGUAAAGAUACUUGGCUUUUAUGAAGCUUGUUUAGGGCAGGACCUAAUUUCAGAAUCCAUCAGAAGUUUAUAUAGUUAUAUCUUCUAUAUGUAUAGUUCAUAUAGUUAGAAACAAGCAGAAUCUGCACACCUGGAAAUACAUUUACGUUAUUUGAUUUACUGACUCACGACAAUAAAAUCUACUCUUGUCCCUGAGAAAGGCCAGACACAGUUCUGCCCAGCCAUGCCCCAGGCAACAGACAAUACAGUCACCUAAAGCAGGAUGGAGCUGCAGUACUGAAAGCCCUAAGAGCCACCCUGACCUUGAUCAGGGAAUGGAAGGAAAAGCAGUGGGCCCCAAUAUUGUAAAGCAAGGAUUAAAUGCUGUAGGGACUGCCAGCACUCACCCAGUCAGAGGUCUGCUCUUCUUAAUCUCAAAGAAUUGUGUCCCAGUGUGAUUGUACCUGGAGGCAAGAAGUUAAAGGCUUGACAGCUUGGAAAACAGAGUUUGAAGAAAACCUGUCUGAAGAACUUUCAUGUUACUUACUAUUCUCACAGCAAAGUCAUGAUCCCACAAAUAUAAGAGCAACACAAGAAAGACCCCAUCUCCCUCUCAUGCAUUUCUCCCAUUUAUAGUCCUUCCUAACUUCCACUGUAUUUCCUUCUUGUCAAUUCUUCUCUUUCUCUUGCCCACACACAUUUCCACUCCAUUUCCCAAAGUUCAGUGCUGACAGCAAAUGCUCUGCUCAGCCUUCCAGUUACCAGGACAGAACAUAGUUAGAUAGAUCUCUGCCUGCUCUGGUCUACCUUAUUCUAAGACUGACAAGGACCCAAUCCAGCACACAAUCACCUUAGAUGGGUGAGAGGUGUCAAAAGGUCUGCCUCCUUACUAUUUUUUUUAGGGCUGAAGCCAGAGCUAGCUCUGUAUCUCAUCAGUGAGAUUAGACUGUGCGUGCAUCACACAUACCUGCUGUCCAGCACAAUAGGGAUGGAUAAAUCUUAUUCCCAGGACACAGUGACACCAGCAGCUUUGCAUAUGAAGGGGCAGAAUACCACAGAUGCACAAAAGCAGGGCAGCUGUCUAACUUUUAAACAGCUACAGUGAAGAGUGUUCAAGUGGGAUGACCUGAGAAGCAGUUAUUCUUAACACCACAGCUCACCUAUACCUUACCAGUGAGGUGACGCAGUUUGUAGUCUAAGACUUGGCUGUCAGGGUUGCAGGUGUGAGUGUUUCUAAUAAAAUGGCCACUGACCUAGAAGCAUGGGGAGUAGGAAAAGGCCCUUGACAACAUGCCUGUUUGUCACAUGGAGUGAACAGGAUUAGAAAAUAACUUGGGCAGACCCAAAGCAGUUAAACAAACCACCAUCCCAAGCCCAGCUUCCUGUUUUCAGGGAGCAAGUUUCAGUUCUCCUCCAACUACAUCAGAACAAGCUCUUCUGCUCCCUCUUUCUGGGUUAUCACACCAGUGACUAACAUAACAGUAAAGGAUACUGAAGCUCCCUGAUGUAGCGCUGUACAGCUUCCAGGCGCUCAGGGAUGGGGGUGGAUGGCUGGAACGUAGGCACACUUGGUAUGGGAAUCUGAAAUGGGGAGCAAAAUGUAAAUCACUGCUUCCUAACCUCUCCAGCUUCUUGCUGAACUCAGUGGCAGAUAACUACAGGGAGUGUGUUCUCUGAAACCAGCCUCUUUUUGCUGUCCGAAGUGAUUGCACCAGAACAUUCCACUGUUUCCACAUUGACAACUGGAAAGGGAUUCAGAAUGAAGCACCACCACAGAGCUGCAAGAGAAACUGUAUGAAAGAGUCCUGCAUUUAGGCAACAUUACAUUGGAAGAAUGAGAUAAAAUUAACUGACAAGGCAAGAUGCAAGACAGGGAAGUUAUCACCCGAAGGAGCUUGGCCUCAUUCAAAUAUGCAAACUGGAAGGCACAAAACAAAAGUAAGAUGAGAGAGGGAGGUAAAAAUGGAGAAUGAGUUUUCCCAAAGCCACUGGAUCAUAGAGCAGUCUUGUAAGCAAGGAUAUAAAGGUCCCUCACUGCCGGUGAGUUGGCACUGACUAGGACACAGGCUUGACAGCAUCAUGAAUCCCCCCUGCAGUGUCUGUUGUUUUGAAUUAUGUGGUCAGAGAAUGACUUCCAAAAGCUCACGAUUUGGACUGCUGUGCCAUUCUGAGGCCUCAGCCUUAUGGGUCCAGUCAGAUUUUCCUCACCAUUUGCUCCACAGGGACAACUGCAGCCUUGUCAGCAGCUGAGAAAAUGUGUCUAGGGGAAGAGAAGUGUCCUGUCCACAGGACAAAUACAAUGGAGAAGACACAGAUUUGGUGUUGAUUGACAGACUUGGAGAAACAGCCUAGCAUUUUGUCUCUGAAGGUUAGCUUAUGCCUUGGACAUACCUCCCUGAUACCAGACUGCAGGUUUUCACAGCAGUUUGGUUUUCAGCAUUUCAGUUCCUCUUCAGAUUUCCCCCUAAAGAUGGGCUAUCCCCAACUAGGAAAGAGCUAGUCAGAACCAGAUCUUCCCUUGGGCUUUCUGCUUCGCUGUAACUGCCUCUGCUGACCAUGGCUUUGUAGCCACUUCUCACCCUCCACCUGUAUUUCUGUGGCCACUCAUUUCCAUACCUCCUUCUGCUCUGGGUUGGCAUAGGUGACUGGUGAACCAGGUCCAGACCUCAACCAGCUGAAAGCUGAGCUAGCAAGCAUGGGUAGUUUUCAGUCAGAUCACUUCCCUCUCCUGGUUUGCCACAUGGUUGCGCUCUGCUUUUGCCUGCACAGUACAGAGGCCAGAGACUUCUUAACCUGGAGAGAUGGGCUGUUGCUGCCUCUGAAAACCAUAAUCUGCGUUUUUAAGCCUAGCUCCAAACACCACCAUCAAGUAAAUGCUGAACUAAACUCAAUCUCCACCCAUUUUCUCUCCAUGUUUUUUCAUCAGUCUCUCUUUUUUUUUUUAAAUUUUUUUUU
Long non-coding RNA from Pezoporus occidentalis (night parrot), 4325 nucleotides. RefSeq lists it as uncharacterized. Lineage: Eukaryota; Metazoa; Chordata; Aves; Psittaciformes; Psittacidae. The transcript has 2 exons. The record is from RefSeq and is a predicted model, not a curated record.